This 119-nucleotide ribosomal RNA is filed under the name Beta vulgaris subsp. vulgaris (sugar beet). The record is from RNAcentral. Lineage: Eukaryota; Viridiplantae; Streptophyta; Magnoliopsida; Caryophyllales; Amaranthaceae.
GACUGCGGUCAUACCAGCACUAAUGCAUCGGAUCCCAUUACAACUCCGCAGCCAAGCGUGCUUGGGGGAGAGUAGUACUAGGAUGGGUGACCUCUUGGGAAGUCCUCGUGUUGCAUCCC